GGCAAGCUAGAGUGCGGUAGGGGAGAUUGGAAUUCCUGGUGUAGCGGUGGAAUGCGCAGAUAUCAGGAGGAACACCGAUGGCGAAGGCAGAUCUCUGGGCCGUAACUGACGCUGAGGAGCGAAAGCAUGGGGAGCGAACAGGAUUAGAUACCCUGGUAGUCCAUGCCGUAAACGUUGGGAACUAGAUGUAGGGCCUGUUCCACGGGUUCUGUGUCGUAGCUAACGCAUUAAGUUCCCCGCCUGGGGAGUACGGCCGCAAGGCUAAAACUCAAAGGAAUUGACGGGGGCCCGCACAAGCGGCGGAGCAUGCGGAUUAAUUCGAUGCAACGCGAAGAACCUUACCAAGGCUUGACAUAUACGAGAACGGGCGAGAGAUCGUCAACUCUUUGGACACUCGUAAACAGGUGGUGCAUG
Molecule: ribosomal RNA, 414 nt
Filed under: Leucobacter musarum
Lineage: Bacteria; Bacillati; Actinomycetota; Actinomycetes; Micrococcales; Microbacteriaceae
Description: bacterial SSU rRNA
Rfam family: Bacterial small subunit ribosomal RNA
Source: RNAcentral